RNAcentral lists this transfer RNA (71 nucleotides) under Clostridiales bacterium. RNAcentral describes it as "tRNA-Gly". It matches the Rfam family "tRNA". From Rfam's summary of the family: Transfer RNA (tRNA) molecules are approximately 80 nucleotides in length. Their secondary structure includes four short double-helical elements and three loops (D, anti-codon, and T loops). Further hydrogen bonds mediate the characteristic L-shaped molecular structure. tRNAs have two regions of fundamental functional importance: the anti-codon, which is responsible for specific mRNA codon recognition, and the 3' end, to which the tRNAs corresponding amino acid is attached (by aminoacyl-tRNA synthetases). tRNAs cope with the degeneracy of the genetic code in two manners: having more than one tRNA (with a specific anti-codon) for a particular amino acid; and 'wobble' base-pairing, i.e. permitting non-standard base-pairing at the 3rd anti-codon position. The record is from RNAcentral. Lineage: Bacteria; Bacillati; Bacillota; Clostridia; Eubacteriales.
GCGGGUUUGGUUUAGUGGUAAAACAUCAGCUUCCCAAGCUGAAUAUACGGGUUCGAUUCCCGUAACCCGCU